UACAGAGGGUGCGAGCGUUGUUCGGAAUUACUGGGCGUAAAGCGCGCGCAGGCGGCUUUUUAAGUCCGACGGUGAAAUGCCGGGGCUCAACCCCGUGCCCGCCGCGGAUACUGGGGAGCUGGAGACGAGUAGAGGCAAGCGGAAUUCCGGGUGUAGCGGUGGAAUGCAUAGAGAUCCGGAAGAACACCGGAGGCGAAGGCGGCUUGCUGGGCUCGGUCUGACGCUGAGGCGCGAAAGCGUGGGGAGCGAACAGG
RNAcentral lists this ribosomal RNA (254 nucleotides) under uncultured bacterium. RNAcentral's name for it is "partial 16S ribosomal RNA". It matches the Rfam family "Bacterial small subunit ribosomal RNA", at positions 524 to 776 of the family's 1533-position model. The record is from RNAcentral.